CGCAGAGGAUCAAAGUCUAAGAACGCCGCGUCCUGAGGCAACAUCUUUGUGCCCCCCAUCCUGGGGU
Molecule: small RNA, 67 nt
Filed under: Bacillus sp. MUM 13
Lineage: Bacteria; Bacillati; Bacillota; Bacilli; Caryophanales; Bacillaceae
Description: Bacillaceae-1 RNA
Rfam family: Bacillaceae-1 RNA
Source: Rfam by way of RNAcentral